This 161-nucleotide small nuclear RNA is filed under the name Solanum tuberosum (potato). RNAcentral describes it as "snRNA U1". It matches the Rfam family "U1 spliceosomal RNA". From Rfam's summary of the family: U1 is a small nuclear RNA (snRNA) component of the spliceosome (involved in pre-mRNA splicing). Its 5' end forms complementary base pairs with the 5' splice junction, thus defining the 5' donor site of an intron. The record is from Rfam by way of RNAcentral. Lineage: Eukaryota; Viridiplantae; Streptophyta; Magnoliopsida; Solanales; Solanaceae.
AUACUUACCUGGACGGGGUCAAUGGGAGAUCAAUAAGACCCAUGGCCUAGGUUUGUGACCUUCAUUGCACUUUGGAGGGGUGCCUACCUAAGGUCGGUCCAAGUGGUCGAGCCUACGUCAUAAUUUGUUGCAGCGGGGGCCUGCGUUCGCGCAGCCCCUAC